This 28-nucleotide non-coding RNA is filed under the name Bombyx mori (domestic silkworm). The record is from RNAcentral. Lineage: Eukaryota; Metazoa; Arthropoda; Insecta; Lepidoptera; Bombycidae.
UACCGGCGAUGUGGACGAUGUCCGAGGU